UACGUAGGGUGCAAGCGUUGUCCGGAAUUAUUGGGCGUAAAGAGCUCGUAGGCGGCUUGUCACGUCGGGUGUGAAAGCCCGGGGCUUAACCCCGGGUCUGCAUUCGAUACGGGCAGGCUAGAGUGUGGUAGGGGAGAUCGGAAUUCCUGGUGUAGCGGUGAAAUGCGCAGAUAUCAGGAGGAACACCGGUGGCGAAGGCGGAUCUCUGGGCCAUUACUGACGCUGAGGAGCGAAAGCGUGGGUAGCGAACAGG
RNAcentral lists this ribosomal RNA (253 nucleotides) under uncultured bacterium. RNAcentral describes it as "partial 16S ribosomal RNA". It matches the Rfam family "Bacterial small subunit ribosomal RNA", at positions 524 to 776 of the family's 1533-position model. The record is from RNAcentral.